Long non-coding RNA from Dermacentor andersoni, 195 nucleotides. RefSeq lists it as uncharacterized. The record is from RefSeq and is a predicted model, not a curated record. NCBI's taxonomy places the organism in Eukaryota, Metazoa, Arthropoda, Arachnida, Ixodida, Ixodidae.
GCAUCCUCAUGAGUCAGCCAACAGGUCCCACAUGGCUUGGAUCAGCUGGUGUCUCCUACCUGUGCCGCCUGGCGGUGACGGAGGAGCACAAGCUUCCAGCCGCGUUCCUGGGUGACCUAAAGGAAUGCAAGAAGGCUAAGCCGGCGCCGGGCGCGAGGGACUUACUGGUGUUCCGCAUGGCUCACUUCAUACUGG